CUAGCGUUGCUCGGAAUCACUGGGCGUAAAGCGCACGUAGGCGGAUCUUUAAGUCAGGGGUGAAAUCCUGGAGCUCAACUCCAGAACUGCCUUUGAUACUGGGGAUCUCGAGUCCGGAAGAGGUGAGUGGAACUCCGAGUGUAGAGGUGAAAUUCGUAGAUAUUCGGAAGAACACCAGUGGCGAAGGCGGCUCACUGGUCCGGUACUGACGCUGAGGUGCGAAAGCGUGGGGAGCAAACAGG
RNAcentral lists this ribosomal RNA (242 nucleotides) under uncultured bacterium. RNAcentral describes it as "partial 16S ribosomal RNA". It matches the Rfam family "Bacterial small subunit ribosomal RNA", at positions 535 to 776 of the family's 1533-position model. The record is from RNAcentral.